AGUGAACGCUGGCGGUAGGCCUAACACAUGCAAGUCGAACGGCAGCACAGUAAGAGCUUGCUCUUACGGGUGGCGAGUGGCGGACGGGUGAGGAAUACAUCGGAAUCUACUUUUUCGUGGGGGAUAACGUAGGGAAACUUACGCUAAUACCGCAUACGACCUACGGGUGAAAGCAGGGGAUCUUCGGACCUUGCGCGAUUGAAUGAGCCGAUGUCGGAUUAGCUAGUUGGCGGGGUAAAGGCCCACCAAGGCGACGAUGCGUAGCUGGUCUGAGAGGAUGAUCAGCCACACUGGAACUGAGACACGGUCCAGACUCCUACGGGAGGCAGCAGUGGGGAAUAUUGGACAAUGGGCGCAAGCCUGAUCCAGCCAUACCGCGUGGGUGAAGAAGGCCUUCGGGUUGUAAAGCCCUUUUGUUGGGAAAGAAAAGCAGCAGGUUAAUACCCCGCUGUUCUGACGGUACCCAAAGAAUAAGCACCGGCUAACCUCGUG
Molecule: ribosomal RNA, 492 nt
Filed under: uncultured bacterium
Lineage: Bacteria
Description: partial 16S ribosomal RNA
Rfam family: Bacterial small subunit ribosomal RNA
Source: RNAcentral